AAAUAGCACUUAAUGUUUUAUCAAAAGUUACAAACUUAGGGUUUAGAGUUAAAGGGUGGGGUUUAUGAUUUAGGGUUUAGGGUUUAGGGUUUAGAGUUUAGGGUUUAGGGUUUAGGGUUUAGGGUUUAGGAUUUAGAGUUUAGAGUUUAGAGUUUAGGGUUUAGGGUUUAGGGUUUAGAGUUUAGAGUUUAGAGUUUAGAGUUGAGAAAUAAGGUUUUGGGGAUAAGAUUUCAAAUUUUGAAAAAUAAAAAAAUUAAAAUUUUCAAAAAAUAAACUUAGAAAGGUGCUAUUUUGGUCAUUUUAGUUUUGGAGUGCUAUUUUUGUGAUAUAAACUUAGAAAUGUGCUAUUUUGGAGAUUUGCCAUUCUUUAAAUGUAUUUAUACAUAUGCAUAUAAAUGAUUAAAUUGGAUAUUUGUUACUAAAAUAUAAAUAUUUGUGAUUUGGAUAUUUGGAUAUUAGUAUUUGUUUUUCUUUGUAAAGUUACAAAUAUCCGAUUUUUCGGUAGAACGAACAGAGAAUCGAAUCACCCAACUUACUCACACUCUGUUAGCUAAAACCGACUACAAAGGAAAAAGUCCAAGUUUGACAGCUUUUAUUUCCUUUAAAUUGAGUGGCUAAUAGUAAGAUUGUCGUUUCUUCAUAAUAAACCUAUUGGCCUCCUAUUAACCAAAAAAAUUCCAGUUCUUACAAAAUUUGCUAACAAACUUUAAUCCCUACUUUUUAUUUCCUUGAAACAAAUGUUACUUUUUCAACCUUGUUAUGAAAGUCAAGUUCAGCAUCAUCUGUUGUGUAGAUAGUCUGGAAAAACUCAUUCAACAUUCAAAUGUAAUAUGAAUACACGUCGAUUGUUGUGUCCCGCUUAUAUAAAUAGUAAAAGCCCGA
RNAcentral lists this long non-coding RNA (882 nucleotides) under Brassica napus (rape). Its description in RNAcentral is "long non-coding RNA (BNAP_LNC011176)". Lineage: Eukaryota; Viridiplantae; Streptophyta; Magnoliopsida; Brassicales; Brassicaceae. The record is from RNAcentral.